CUGCAUUUGUAUGUUUUUUAUUAUGUCCUUAAAAUGGUUAGAAAUACUAUUUUAGAGAUAUCUCCGAAGAGUUUUCCUCUACCUCAUAACGGAAAUGUAGAAUGUAAAACAUUGGGCUAUGGCAAUAACUUCAUGAAGCAUGAUACUUGUGAUAGCGGCAGGAGGCAGAAAAAUUCCUCAGCAGAGAGGGGCGGGUCCCUGGUGAAACCCACCUUCAGACUGGAGAGAGCUGAAAGUCUGAAAUCUGGGCUGCCAGUUCCUGGUGGAGUACACUGCCUGGAGUGAGAACUUCUUUGAUGCAGUUUGGCCAAUCUAAUGAUACUUUUUCCAGAUCCGUCCAUGGACCAAUAAGCAAGCACUUGCUCCCACCCUGGACCAGUCAGCACACAGUUCUUCCAUUCUAAGCCUAUAAAAACCCCAGACUCAGCUGGACUCAGAGACACUUUUGAACUACCUGCCUGCAGAUAAGAGCUACCCACUUCAGGUCUACUCUCUGCUGAGAGCUGUUGUGUGACUCUAUAAAGCUUUUCUCUGCUUUGGUCACCCUCCAGUUGUCUGCAUUAUUGCAUUGUUCUUGGACUCCAGACAGGAACUCAGGACCUGCUGAAUUGCAGGCACAAAAAGGGCUGUAACAUGUUCCUGGCCAGCUCACUGAGCUGCAAGCAGUGACACGCUCUUGUUCAUCAGACCGUGGGAGUAAACAGCACAACCCUUCUGGGACCUCAGAUUUCAGUAUUCCCCAAGCCAGAGCCGUAACUCUGUAGCCUUCUCACCCUCUGCUGGCAUUGGGCAGCUGCCUCUUGGGAUGGGAAGCAGUGGCAGGGCUGGGCCUGCCCAGGAGCUGCAGACCAGAGUGGCUGACCAAGCUGUAAUACAAAUGGGCUGAAACAGGCACCGUCCCAUGUUUGCUGUGCCAUGGGCAGCUGGACUGAGAGAGUGGUAACUCAUCCUCCACCCCUUGGGGCCCUGUGGUGGCUGGCAUCUCUAAGUUUUCAGAUGCCACCUUGUUCCCCUUGUUCAGAUGCUGGCGCCUGCAGCAGAAGCUGUUGUGGUACGCCCAGUCCAGCUGCAGCCUUCCAUGCAGCUGGCACCUGAGCCAGCACCUGGAGCUACCCGUUCUGCCACAGCAGCCAGCGCACCUGGCUGUGAGCAGUGGCUGGACCCUGUGCUCACUUGCUUACACAUCCCUCACUACUCCGCACCUGGCUCACCCUCAGUGGACGUGGGAUCUAAGCCAAUAGCGUGAAGCAAGCACAGCCUGUCGGAUGAGUGUUUGGAAACAAGCCCAGUGGGUGCAAGUGAAAUUCAGCCAGAGGUGCUGCUGGCCACAGAGUUUGCCGCUGGUGAAGCAACAGCCAAAGCAUCCAGUGACACUUGCAUACAUUUUGGAUAAAGUAUUCAAAACUAUGUAGGAACUCCAGUUUAGGGGAGUAAUUAUUUAAUAAUUUAAUAAGUGAUAUUUGGCUGAGUAUUUUUAAGGAUAGAAGAGUAAGUUACCAUCAUUUUGGCCUAAGAACAAAUGAGACUUCUAUUUGUUAAAAUAUGGAUCAAGGGAUCUUAGGAGGAUUAUUUGCUUGUUUAUAAGCUGAUUGUUCACAUAUCUUUUCUUACCUGCCUUCAAUGUCUCGUCAGUGUUUGAUUUGAAUUUUGCUACAUUAAACUAGCCUAGAUAACAUUUUCCUGUUUAUAUUAAAGUUCUCCUGGUAUAGACAAAUUUGAUUGAUUGAUAAAUAUAGAUAAAUCUCAUGUCUAGAGAGAGAGAGACAAGAGAGAAGGUUUACUUUAAGGGCCAAAUAAACCACCUUUGACUCAUGCAAUUGAGGGGGCAUGCAAGUUAGAAUCAGGCCAGUAAACUAGAAAUUCUGCCAAGAGUUAAUAUUGCAGUCUCCAGUCUGAACCCUGGAAACUUAGGCAGAAUUUCUAUUUUUGACUCAACAGAGAAUUCCUUUCUUAACAGGGACCUAGAUUUGUUUUUAAGGCUUUCCGUUGUUUGGAUGAGGACCACCACAUUGUGGAAGUAAUCUGCUUUACUCAACAUCUACCAAUUUAAAUGUUAAUUACUUCAAAAAAUACUUUCCCCACAACAUCUAGCUGGGUAUUUUACAAAACAAUUUGGCACCACAGCCUAGGCAAGUUGACACCUAAAAUUAACCAUCACAUUGUUUCAGUUGAGAAAUCAAUAAGUACUUUCAAACAGAAAAAUGAAAAUAAAUGCACAGUCAUGCAUUGCUUAAUGAUGAGAAAUGUGUUGUUAAGCAAUUUUGUCAUUAGGCAAAUAUAGAUUUUACUUACACAAACCUAGAUGGUAUAGCCUAUGACACACUUAGGCUAUAUCUUACAGCCUUUUGUUCCUAGGCUACCAAACUGUACAGUAAGUUACUCAACUGUAUACUGUAGGCAACUGUAACACAAUGGCAAGUAUUGGUAUAUCUAAACAUAGAGAAGGCAUAGUGAAAAUAGAGAAUAUGGCAGGCGUAGUGGUGUGUGCCUAUAAUCCCAGCCACUCUGGAGGUUGAGGUGGGAGUAUUUCUUGAGCCCAGGAAUUUGAAACAAUCCUGGGAAGCAGCAAGACACUAUCUCAAAUAAAAAAUAAAAUAAUUUAAAAAUACAGUAUAAAAUAAAAAAAAAUGGUACACCUUUAUAAAGACUUACCAAGAAUGGAGCUUGCAGGCCUGGAAGUUCCACUGGGUGAGUCACUGGGUGAGUGGUGAGUGAAUGUGAAGGCCUGAGACAUUUCUCUACACUACUCUAGACUUUAUAAACAUUGUAUAAUUAGGCUACAUUAAAUUCUUUUUAGAAAUUUUCUUUCUUGAAUAAAUUAAUCUGAGCUUACUGUAACUUUUUUAUUUUAUAAACUUUUUAAUUCCUUUCAAUUCUUUAACUCUUGUGUAACCACACUUAGCUUAAAACACAAACACGUUGUACAGCUGUAUAAACAUAUUUUCUUUCUUUAUAUCCCUAUUCCAUAAGCUUUUCCUGUUUUUAACAUUUUUAACAUUUUCAACUUUUUGUUAAAAACUAAGACACAAACACACACAUUAGCCUAGGCCCAUGCAGUACCACAAUUAUCAAUAUCGCUGUCUUUCACAUCCGUAUCUUGUGUCACUGGAAGGUCUUCAGGGGGCGUAACACAAAUGGAGCUGUUGCAAGUACCUCUUCUACAGUUACUUUUUUUUUAAAAUAAGUAGAAGGAAUACACUCUAAUAUAAUGAUAAAAAGUACAGUAUAAAAAUAUAUAAACCAGUAACAUGACCAUUUAUUAUCGUUAUCCAGUAAUGUACUGAAGUUAACUAUAUACUUUCUUUUCUAAACUGGCAGUGCAGUAGGUUUGUUUACACCAGCAACGCCACAAACUCGAGUCAUGCCUUACACUAAAAUGUUACAAUGUCUACAGUGUAACUAGGCCAUAGGAAUUUUUCAGCACAAUUAUUAUCUUAUGGGACCACUGCCAUGUAUGUGCUCAGUAGUGCACCAAAAUGUCAUUAUGCUCUAGUCUUUCAUGCACAUAUUUUUCUGUAGAAAGUAGUUGAAGAGAUUAAGCAUAUCAAAAAUUGAUCCCUUAAAUUAAUAUUCAGUUGUGAAAAGCUAGUCCAACAUAUUUUAAUACUGCCUUAGAAUUAAUUAAAAAAAAUCUAUCAGAAUGCCAAAUUGUUUUCAAACAUUUUACCAGAUAAGUUAAAUUUACAUUAUUAAUUAAGUUCUCAGAUAUGAUUUGUUUAGAUGGGGACUAAUAUUUAUUCCUGUAACUUUUGUUUUGUUAUCAAAGGUUCUGGAAUAAUGUGUUUGAUUCUAUUUUUCUCACAUUCAAAGCCCCAUAUUAUAUGGAGAACGAGUCUCUCUAUUUUUUCUUUUUUUUCUUUUUAACUGAUAGGCCUAGGGAAAAGCCUUUUUAAGUUACCCAGUUUUUUAAAAUGGCUUUGAUCCUUGCUUAUCUUCUCUUUGCUUAGUUGUUUUAUAAUAUGUCAUCAUGUGUGAACUUUGUCCAAUAUUUAAUUUUGUAUCAUCGGCAGCUACUCAUAAAUUAUAAACCCAAUUAUCAUUGCUGUCAGUGGUGGCUGAUUUACCUUACGAUAACAAAAACAAUAAUAAAAUAAAAUAAAAAAUUUAACAUACAAUUUGGAGAAUAUUUAUAGAAUACUAACUGAAAUCAACUUUGCAAUUACUGUUUGCCUUUAUUCUCUUAGACUGACUUAUAUAUUUAUGACUAAUUUUCACCAAAUUUUAUUUCUUAGAAAAUGUUUUAAUCCUACUAAAAAUGUAAUCCAGUAUACUUUAAGAAAAUCUAUGCCAAAUGUUCUGUGAGAUUAGCCAAUCUUGUCAUAGAUACUUGUCAAUGUUUUGUACACCAGAGUGAAAUUUACUUCCUGACCCUAGCUAUUCCUUAGGUAAUACACAAAAACAACUGAAUUGACAAUCAUAGUCACCUAAGAUAAUGGAAAAACAGUUGUUUGUCAAGUACUUUUUUAAUGAAUCUUGUAUGACUAAGUAGCUUUAUAUUUGAAAGUUUUGCAAGUAAAUUAUUUUUAUGUUGAUGUAUUUCUUUCUAUUUGUAUUUUGUAAAUGCACAGUAGGUUCCAAUUUAUGUUGUCCUGGGUAUUUUUUUUUCUAGUUUUGCGCAGAAACAAAUAGAAAUAUAAAAUUUAAUUAAUUAUAUGUAUUUAAAAAUAAAAUAUAAUAUUUUAUUUCAUUUUGUUUGCAACCCUCAUCCAAUAAAAUGUAAAUCAUGAUUUUAAACC
This 4736-nucleotide long non-coding RNA is filed under the name Homo sapiens (human). RNAcentral's name for it is "HSALNT0063691". Lineage: Eukaryota; Metazoa; Chordata; Mammalia; Primates; Hominidae. The record is from RNAcentral.